UACGAAGGGUGCAAGCGUUACUCGGAAUUACUGGGCGUAAAGCGUGCGUAGGUGGUCGUUUAAGUCCGUUGUGAAAGCCCUGGGCUCAACCUGGGAACUGCAGUGGAUACUGGGCGACUAGAAUGUGGUAGAGGGUAGCGGAAUUCCUGGUGUAGCAGUGAAAUGCGUAGAGAUCAGGAGGAACAUCCAUGGCGAAGGCAGCUACCUGGACCAACAUUGACACUGAGGCACGAAAGCGUGGGGGAGCAAACAGGAUUAGAUACCCUGGCAGUCCACGCCCUAAACGAUGCGAACUGGAUGUUGGGUGCAAUUUGGCACGCAGUAUCGAAGCUAACGCGUUAAGUUCGCCGCCUGGGGAGUACGGUCGCAAGACUGAAACUC
RNAcentral lists this ribosomal RNA (381 nucleotides) under uncultured bacterium. RNAcentral describes it as "bacterial SSU rRNA". It matches the Rfam family "Bacterial small subunit ribosomal RNA", at positions 524 to 902 of the family's 1533-position model. The record is from RNAcentral.